UACGGGGGGGGCAAGCGUUGUCCGGAAUCAUUGGGCGUAAAGCGCGUGUAGGCGGCCCGGUAAGUCCGCUGUGAAAGUCGGGGGCUCAACCCUCGGAUGCCGGUGGAUACUGUCGGGCUCGAGUACGGAAGAGGCGAGUGGAAUUCCUGGUGUAGCGGUGAAAUGCGCAGAUAUCAGGAGGAACACCAAUUGCGAAGGCAGCUCGCUGGGACGUAACUGACGCUGAGACGCGAAAGCGUGGGGAGCAAACAGG
This 253-nucleotide ribosomal RNA is filed under the name uncultured bacterium. RNAcentral describes it as "partial 16S ribosomal RNA". It matches the Rfam family "Bacterial small subunit ribosomal RNA", at positions 524 to 776 of the family's 1533-position model. The record is from RNAcentral.